GGUAGGAGAAAAUACCUAAACCCGUAAUGCAGCCUACCACGGUAGCCAGUCCCAAGCCUGGAAGAAAUGCAGAGGGCGGA
This 80-nucleotide non-coding RNA is filed under the name unclassified sequences. The record is from RNAcentral.